UUGAUGGAGAGUUUGAUCCUGGCUCAGGAACAACGCUGGCGGCGUGCCUAAUGCAUGCAAGUCGAACGGGAGCCGCUUUGGCGGUCGACCGUGGCG
Molecule: ribosomal RNA, 96 nt
Filed under: Sphaerobacter sp.
Lineage: Bacteria; Pseudomonadati; Thermomicrobiota; Thermomicrobia; Sphaerobacterales; Sphaerobacteraceae
Description: partial 16S ribosomal RNA
Rfam family: Bacterial small subunit ribosomal RNA
Source: RNAcentral